GCACUGUUGGUUCAGGGGUAGAAUUCUUGCCUUCCAUGUGAGAGACUCAAGUUCCAUUCCUGGCCAGUGUA
This 71-nucleotide transfer RNA is filed under the name Loxodonta africana (African savanna elephant). It matches the Rfam family "tRNA". Rfam says of the family: Transfer RNA (tRNA) molecules are approximately 80 nucleotides in length. Their secondary structure includes four short double-helical elements and three loops (D, anti-codon, and T loops). Lineage: Eukaryota; Metazoa; Chordata; Mammalia; Proboscidea; Elephantidae. The record is from Rfam by way of RNAcentral.